This 106-nucleotide small nuclear RNA is filed under the name Neogale vison (American mink). Lineage: Eukaryota; Metazoa; Chordata; Mammalia; Carnivora; Mustelidae. The record is from RNAcentral.
GUGCUCGCUUUGGCAGCACAUAUACUAAAAUUGAAACAAUACAAGAAGAUUAGCAUGGCCCCUGUGCAAGGAUGACACGCAAAUUUGUGAAGCGUUCCAUAUUUUU